UAAGUCAGAUGUGAAAGCCCGGGGCUCAACCUCGGAACCGCAUUUGAAACUGGCAGGCUAGAGUCUUGUAGAGGGGGGUAGAAUUUCAGGUGUAGCGGUGAAAUGCGUAGAGAUCUGAAGGAAUACCAGUGGCGAAGGCGGCCCCCUGGACAAAGACUGACGCUCAGAUGCGAAAGCGUGGGUAGCAAACAGGAUUAGAUACCCUGGUAGUCCACGCCGUAAACGCUGUCUACUUGGAGGUUGAGGUUUAGACUUUGGCUUUCGGCGCUAACGCAUUAAGUAGACCGCCUGGGGAGUACGGCCGCAAGGUUAAAACUCAAAUGAAUUGACGGGGGCCCGCACAAGCGGUGGAGCAUGUGGUUUAAUUCGAUGCAACGCGAAGAACCUUACCUACUCUUGACAUCCAGAGAACUUUCCAGAGAUGGAUUGGUGCCUUCGGGAACUCUGAGACAGGUGCUGCAUGGCUGUCGUCAGCUCGUGUUGUGAAAUGUUGGGUUAAGUCCCGCAACGAGCGCAACCCUUAUCCUUGUUUGCCAGCACGUAAUGGUGGGAACUCCAGGGAGACUGCCGGUGAUAAACCGGAGGAAGGUGGGGACGACGUCAAGUCAUCAUGGCCCUUACGAGUAGGGCUACACACGUGCUACAAUGGCAGA
This 653-nucleotide ribosomal RNA is filed under the name uncultured Salinivibrio sp. Its description in RNAcentral is "bacterial SSU rRNA". It matches the Rfam family "Bacterial small subunit ribosomal RNA", at positions 584 to 1237 of the family's 1533-position model. The record is from RNAcentral. Lineage: Bacteria; Pseudomonadati; Pseudomonadota; Gammaproteobacteria; Vibrionales; Vibrionaceae.